This 253-nucleotide ribosomal RNA is filed under the name uncultured bacterium. RNAcentral's name for it is "partial 16S ribosomal RNA". It matches the Rfam family "Bacterial small subunit ribosomal RNA", at positions 524 to 776 of the family's 1533-position model. The record is from RNAcentral.
UACGAAGGGGGCUAGCGUUGUUCGGAAUCACUGGGCGUAAAGCGCGCGUAGGCGGACUGUUAAGUCAGGGGUGAAAGCCCGGGGCCCAACCCCGGAAUUGCCUUUGAAACUAUCAGUCUGGAGACUCGGAGGGGAUAGCGGAAUUCCAAUUGUAGGGGUGAAAUCCGUAGAUAUUUGGAGGAACACCGGUGGCGAAGGCGGCUAUCUGGACGUGUACUGACGCUGAGGCGCGAAAGCGUGGGGAGCAAACAGG